AAGGCUCCAGCUUGCUGGAGUGCUCGAGUGGCGAACGGGUGAGUAACACGUGGGCAAUCUGCCCUGCACUCUGGGAUAAGCCUGGGAAACUGGGUCUAAUACCGGAUAGGACCUUUCUCCUCAUGGGGUUUGGUGGAAAGUUUUUCGGUGCAGGAUGAGCCCGCGGCCUAUCAGCUUGUUGGUGGGGUAAUGGCCUACCAAGGCGACGACGGGUAGCCGGCCUGAGAGGGUGAUCGGCCACAUUGGGACUGAGAUACGGCCCAGACUCCUACGGGAGGCAGCAGUGGGGAAUAUUGCACAAUGGGCGAAAGCCUGAUGCAGCGACGCCGCGUGAGGGAUGACGGCCUUCGGGUCGUAAACCUCUUUCAGUAGGGACGAAGCGCAAGUGACGGUACCUGCAGAAGAAGCACCGGCUAACUACGUGCCAGCAGCCGCGGUAAUACGUAGGGUGCGAGCGUUGUCCGGAAUUACUGGGCGUAAAGAGCUCGUAGGCGGUUUGUCACGUCGUCUGUGAAAUCCUAGGGCUUAACCCUGGACGUGCAGGCGAUACGGGCUGACUUGAGUACUACAGGGGAGACUGGAAUUUCUGGUGUAGCGGUGGAAUGCACAGAUAUCAGGAAGAACACCGAUGGCGAAGGCAGGUCUCUGGGUAGUAACUGACGCUGAGGAGCGAAAGCAUGGG
This 682-nucleotide ribosomal RNA is filed under the name uncultured Actinomycetales bacterium. RNAcentral's name for it is "bacterial SSU rRNA". It matches the Rfam family "Bacterial small subunit ribosomal RNA", at positions 69 to 765 of the family's 1533-position model. The record is from RNAcentral. Lineage: Bacteria; Bacillati; Actinomycetota; Actinomycetes; Actinomycetales.